CGCUAAAUGGGUUCGCAAACGUAGCUCCAGUUCCAAAUGGUGAAUUGCCAAAUCCAGCCCCUGAUGUGGAAGUUGUUGCUCCAAAAGAGACAGUGCCAGGUCCAGAUGAGACUCCUGCUCCAAAUGACACGGUCCCAGGUCCAGAUGAGGAGGCUCCAGCUCCAGAGGACACGAUCCCAGGUCCAGAUGAGGAGGGUCCUGCUCCAAAUCCAGGUCCAGACGAGGCAGCUCCUGAUCC
Molecule: long non-coding RNA, 238 nt
Filed under: Sorghum bicolor (sorghum)
Lineage: Eukaryota; Viridiplantae; Streptophyta; Magnoliopsida; Poales; Poaceae
Description: long non-coding RNA (SBIC_LNC000082)
Source: RNAcentral